ACAUACCCUUCUGGUUUCAUGGGUUCGUGCCUAAAUCCUUUCCUCUAUCUCCCACCUCCACCCACCCACAAGCACCAAAUCCCCUUUUCCUUUCUUUUGUAAAUAAUUUGAUCUUCUAAAUGAAAGAAUAUUCUAGGGAUUCUUUCUUUUCUUCCCCUUUCAUUUGCACAGUGGCAUUGGUUGGGGAUGGUUGGUCAUAGGCAACAAGAUUUUUCUGCAAAUAAUAUUUUGGCCAAAUAGAACUGAUGGAUUUUUGCAUUUUCUCUGAUUUUAUCUCAUUUGCAGCACUAAGCAUGCAGUGUGAUAAAAUUUGAUAUCUGUUUUGCAGACAAGUGGUCAUCACAUGUGAUUAGCUAUGAUGAAUAGUUCAUCCUUGUUGCAUUGAUUUUAUUUUUUUAAUAAAUUGUGUAGUAUCUCUUGUUUUCGUCUAUGUUAACAGAUGUUGUGUCAAUUCCAAAGACA
Molecule: unclassified non-coding RNA, 462 nt
Filed under: Hevea brasiliensis (rubber tree)
Lineage: Eukaryota; Viridiplantae; Streptophyta; Magnoliopsida; Malpighiales; Euphorbiaceae
Source: RNAcentral